Molecule: long non-coding RNA, 11473 nt
Organism: Columba livia (rock pigeon)
Lineage: Eukaryota; Metazoa; Chordata; Aves; Columbiformes; Columbidae
Exons: 6
Source: RefSeq, a predicted model, not a curated record
CGCGGGCCGAGGAGCGUGUGCCGGCGGUGCGGCGGCGGGAGCAGCGCGCGAGGAGCGGCGGGGCCGGCGCACCUGACUGAAUGGAGGAGCAAGUGGACGGGAAGUUCCUGAGCCACACACAGAUCACAUUUAUUACUCUCGCCCUCAGAGACCCGGAGAUCCAAACCGUUCGCAUGGUGCCUUGAAGCAGCCUGUGCUCAUGCGCUUCUCCCAGGGAGAAGCCGGAAUGGCAGUGACUGGCCACGUUAAGCCACAGGGUGCACACUCUGCAGCUGUCAAGCCCAGCUCUGCAUCAGCUCACACCUGUGAUUUUGCGCCGCACACGCGGAUUUGAGUUGUCGCUGGUUGUUGCAGCGUUUGGCUUUGGUGAGGACAGCGUGUGUUUAUCAGCAGUUGGUGUAGGUGGAAUCUUGAGGAGAAAGCGAUAUUUCCGUGCCAGAACUGGUUGGUGUUUGCAUGGUAUUGUGGCGGUUGUUCCCGCAGGCGAUGAGUGCUGGAGUGUUAUUGCAGGAAAGGGGAUUUUGGAGGCUUGUCUGUGAGAUGCACUAGAGGCAGCAGUUGAAAGCGAAAGGCUGAGAUUUGGAGAGUUUGUCGGUGUGUUUUGGGCGGUUGUCAGUUGAAGAGUUGGCUGUUUGCAGGUGAGGUGUAGGGCAGAGGGUGAAGCUGACUUUGCCUGGGCGGCGCAACUGGCUGGGUGUGCAGAGCUGAGGAGAGCGGGCUGCUGCGGGUGACCCUAAAGCUGGAGAACCAGCCGGCAGGUCCAGAGGCUCCCGCUGCCGGGCAGGGCCGUGCAGGCCAGUGCCCUGGGGCACAGCGACGUGACCCUCCGCAAGUACCAAAGAGCAGGUGGAGCAGCGUGCAAAGGAAAAGCAAGGAAGGAGGUGAACCCAUGAGGAAGAGUGAUGGAUAAAGAGGGUUGGAGCGCACCUGCCAGUCAAGAGGGAUCAAGAAAGAAGACACCGGUGGUGGAACUGCAGGUUCAGAGCCCGAGCCUCCUUUGGUUGUAUCUGUAAACAUUAAACAUCUCAGCGCGAACCACAACUGCAUUUCUCACAGACAGAAGUGCCUGAACUCCACAGCUUGCCUGGCAGUGCAGAGAGCAGGAAGUGUGGUAAGUCCUGGGCCCUUGGGGACAUUUCACCCUGUUUUGUGUCCCAGUCCCUCCCUGCUCCCUCCUCUUUCCUACUGUGCCCUUCUUCCUCUUCAUCUCUUCUCCCUCUGUCCCUCUGCUGCUUCCUCACCUAUUCCUCCACCCUUCUGAAUCUCUGUGCAGGGUUUCUCAUAUCUCCCUCUCCGUCUCCACCCCUCUGUGUUCUCACCAUCCCUGGUUUCUCUUUGUCUUCAUUCUUGUCUGUUGCUCUGUCCUGCUCCGUGCCCCAUCAUUUCUCACUGUAUCCCUCUGUCCUGCUCCCUGCGCCUAUUCCUGCCCCUCUUCUUUUUAACUCCCUCUCCAUCUUGCUGCCCACCCCAGGAUUUUUUCCCAACCUCUAUCCUGCCCCCAACCCUUAUUGUUCUUUCUCCUGCUCCCUCUCUGUCUUUCUGCCUGUCUUCCCUUUCCCUGCUGCUUCUUUCUCCAUCUCUGCCCCUUUUCCUUCUUGAUGUCUUUCUGUCCUGUUUGUCUUUCUGUCUUCCUUGCCUGUUCCCGGCCCCAUCCCCUCUCACUAUAUCUCCCCUGUCCAGCUGGCUCUGCCUUUUCUUUGUCUUCUCUUCCUCUUUCCUGCUCCUCAGCCCUCUUUUCCUCUUCCUCCAGCUCAUUGCUGCAUGUUUUCCGUUUCCAGUAUCUUCAUUUUGAUCUGAACUUUGCUUUGUUUCUCAGUCCCUUUGUUUUGUUCCCUCCCUUUUUGUCUCUCCAUCUGUACAUCCCCCUCCCUGUCUUUCUCUACCCCCUUCCUGCUUCUCCUCCUCCCGACUCCCCAUCCCUCUGUCCUGCUCCUCAGCCCUGCUCUUUCUUCCUCCCUGUCUCAUCACGGCUCCUUGUCCCUUUUUGCCUUGAUCUCUACAUCUUUUUUCCUGUGUGUUUCUUUCUCUCUGGGCUCCUCUGUCUUCUCUCUUGUCUCAUUUGUCUCUUUCUAGUCCUCUGUCCUUCUCCCCAGCAGCUUCAACUGAAUGACCAGGUGUCUGUGCACUCUGGUGUUUCCUCAUGCCUGCCCUGGGGAAGAUCUGUGUCUGUAGGGCUGGGGAUCAUUUAGGAGCUGUUCUCCUUGUGCAGACGGCAGAGCCGGGUGCAGUUGUGGCAGAGGUUGUUCUCAGCUGCUGCUCUGUGCAGCUUGGUUCAAGAGCCAGCUGGGGGCUUCUUUGGAAGGGAGGUUUCUUGUUCUGUGCUUACUGCUCCUCGGGACCCUGCACAGGAGCGCUGUUGGGGUCUGCAGGGACGGGUGGGACCUGCUGUGAUUCCUGGUGAAUGUGAACUCAACUUGUCCUGAUGGCCUCGAAUGAAACCAGACUGACUGUAGAUGGUUUUCUUCCCAGAUCCCAUUCCAACCUCCGUGCUCAGUGCUAAAGAACAAGAGAUCUUGUGCUCUUUUCCAGAUGUCAGUGGCCGCAAAUCAGCUGAGAACAUCCUGCCUUAGGUAACGGGCAGGUGGUCUGUGAUCAGGGGUGUGGACUUGAAUGGCCGUGCUUUCAUGAACGUUUUCUGGUCUUGCCAUUUCACAGCCCUUCCUUCUCCUGGAAAUUUAAGACAGCAUUUCUUAUCCUGAGGUUCAGACGGGAGUUGGACUUACUGUUGAACAGAUGAUAUAAUGUGCUCCCUGAGGAGCACAUCUUGCUUUUUUGUUGUUGUUUUCCAACACCGUCUGAACUUUGGUCAGCAAGAGGAAGAGUGGUGACAGAGUCUGUUAUCUGAGAGUAACGUGUUCCUGUACCUUUCCCGUCGUUCUGUGGUGAAGGAUUCCUUCCCUUGCAGAGAGGACUGCAAGACCCGCUCCUGCCAGGUUGGACUUUGCCUCCAAACGUGGCGCAGCCUCUUCCAUUGUGACAUCAGCCACUGCCACUGACGUCACAAAGCAGCAUGAGCGCUGAGGUCGGCACAGCAGGGGAUAAGACCAGGGGUCUCCCUGCGCCUCGGUCACUCUCGAUCUUGAGAGAACUGAGAUCGCAGAGUUUUUGGCUCACUCCUGAGCGAGCGAGAUGCUUGUUACCUUCACCUCAGCAGGUACCCAGAGACAUCCAGAGAUGGCUGAACGUCUGAACUGGUAUGUUGGGAAUAUUUUCUGCUCCCUUCCCCAGGUGUGUUUUCCACCUUGUCAGCUGGGGUGGGUGGAUGGUGGAAAGGAGAGGAACACGAGGGCAGCCUGAGAGCUGGGUCUGGAGCUGCUGGAAGGCAGCAGCCAUCUUUCGGUCUCUUCAUGAAAUUGAGGGCUGGGCCCAGAAGCCUUUGAUCUCUGCAGAAUGAGGGACAGGUCCAUUUUGGAUGGGACAGAGAGAGUCCCAGGGGUGGCCCAGACACAGCCUGCCGCAGUAAUUGUGAGAACUCAGCUCCGUCCUGUAUUGUGCUCUGCAGGGUGGGUUCUGUCCCUGAGCCUGCUUGGUUUUCCUCUCCACAGGGACCAGAAGGACACCAGCGUGUCCUCUGUUGGCCGUGGGUCUGACUUGUGUUCCUGACAGAGGAGGUUUCCUUGGGAAACCUGGUCAGCUCCUCACCAGGGCUCUGCCUUAAGAAAGGGGCUCAAAGUCCUCAGAGGGGUGCAAGGAGUUCUCUAGGAGAACAAAAGGGAUUGUUUAUUCCUGAUGAGUGUCGCUGUGAGCCUGUUGAGAGCCUCCUGGAACAGACAGGAGGAAUUUCCCCCUUGCAGAGCGGUGUGUAUUGUGUCUUGGCAGAUCAGGCUCAGGGCAGCAGGGCCCAGACAACGGAGUUUCUUUGGUGCUUCCUUGGUUGCCCGUUGCUUGCCAGCACGCAUUGACAUUUAGCCCUCCCUCCCUCUUUCCAGUCUGCAUUUGUCUGCUGUUCUGCCAAGAGAAGGGCCAGAGAUAACCCGGCUGCUAAAGAAACGCUGCGAGAGGGGAGACACACACCCCCCGCCUGGCAGCUGUUGGACUGUAGGGGCACAGGCUGAACCUUCUCUUGAGAGGGUGGAGAACAGGAUCAGCACAAGUGUCCAUUGAAUGCUGGGCAGGAGAAACAGGCGUUUGUUAUGUCCUUCCAUUUCCAGAGAACUCCUCUCCAGCCCCACAGACACGAAGUGUGGACAGAAGUCCUGUUGCAACUCCUGCUCUUAGUCUGGAGUCAAUCUUGAGCCCUUUGUCCCUAAGGAAACAAUCUUUGCCGUGACAAAUCCCCCAGUGGUGCAGCUGGUGACACCUCCAGCAGUGACUGGAGCUGGUGCAGGACCAAGCCAAUGCACACGGCAGGAACGCCAGGCUCAAGGGCUGAGUCCAUGCUGCUGCUCUCCAGUCUGCUGCUGAUCUGCACGGGAACCGCCAGCUUCACCAGCCUUUUCUUUAUCUGCUCUGCAGGGAGAUGAAGGCACUGAAGGCAUCGACCCUGCUGCUGCUUCUCGGUCUCUUCUCUUUCGGUGUUUACCAUGUGCGACAACUCGGCACCUAAACCCUCUGGAGCACUGCACCAGAGAUAGGAGACCUCAGCGCAACCCUGUCCCUGCCCGUCCAGCUCCUUAAGCUCCAGGAACAGCUUUAUCAUCUGCAAAGGAUGUGGCCAAGCGGGCUCUGCAGGAAGGACUGAAGCAGGCAAAGCUCCCAGGCGUUACCGGACGGGGCUCAAGAACCACCUAUCUGCGUGGCAUGCUGUGAGUCCCACAGAACUUUGAAUGAGCUGCUGAAAGGAAGCAGGAGCCGGCCGGCCUGAAAUCCCUCCGGAGUAGAGAGGUGAGCUGUGGGAAACAUGGGAAAUCAAGCGUCUUCCCCAGAGAGACAUAUAUGAGCUUAUGAAAACUCUCCUUCAAAAGCAUGGAAAGAAUGUUUCUGGGCACGAUCUCAAGCUGAUGCUUAAAUGGGUACAAGUGAAAAUACCCACUGUAACUGCAUCUACCAUUUUUACGUGGGAACUUUGGGAUGACGUGGGGGUGAAACUGUGGGAUGCGGUAACAAUGGGGAACGCCGAAGCACAGCGCAUGCUCCCGUGGUGGAGAAGCAUUUUUGAGACUUUGAAGGCCCAGGAAAAAAGUCGCAAAGACAAAGCAGAGAGGGAAGGAGACUCUCCUGCUGUACCUCCACUGUUAUCGGUGGGUCAAAAACCCACCACGCUUUUGGAAGUGUGUGCCGCAGGGUACCCCCCAGAAGAGGACCCCUUUGAUUUGGGGCCGAUGGACCCUGCAAAGGAGCCAGACCUCUACCCCCCUGACCCACAUGAUGUGUGGGCUAACAUAAGGCGCCAAGCCUUGAAGGAGGGAGAGCUGGAAAUUGCUAGAACAAUAGUGGCCCCUGUGAUUUAUCAGGGUCGGAGGGCACAGUGGGAAGCUUUAUCUUUUCCGGUAGUUAAGGAGUUGCGCCGUACUGUUACUGAGCAUGGACUUUCUUCCCCGUAUUUUGCAAGCUUAUUAUCUUCUGGUUUUGACACUUAAGUUAUGACUCCGCAUGAUUUAAAAUCUUUAGCACAACUGUUGCUGACUCCGACACAGUACACUUUAUGGGAAACGCAUUGGAGGGGGCGGCUUCAAGCACUUCUCGUGACUUACGUAGGUCACAGCAAUGCAGCUAUAGCUGUGCUGACUAUAGAACACCUUACAGGCACGGGCCAGCACUCUGAUCCAGUAGCUCAGGCUCGCGAUAUCCCACGGGAAGCUCUUGAAGCAACUUGUGAAGAAGUGAAAAAAGCCUUUUUUAAGGUCUCUGACUUAAAGGCCACAAAAAGCCUUCACUAUGAUAACCCAGGAACCCCGAGAACCUUAUAUGCAGUUUAUUGAUAGAUUGAAACAGGCUUUAGAGCGUCAGAUAGAUAAUACAGAGGCGCAGGAAAUUUUGUUGUUGAAACUGGCCGUUGAAAAUGCUAAUGUGGAUUGCAAAAAGCUAUUGAAAUCUCUCCCAAAUCCGAACCCCAUACUGGUUGAAAUGGUAGAAGCUUGUAAUAGAAUUGGUACUGUAGAUCAUAAAUUUGAAGCUAUGGCCGCUGCUUUCGCAGCCAUGCGUGGCUCGGUGGGGCCAGGGAAUUGUUAUGGUUGCAGUAAACCUGGUCAUCUAAAAAGAAACUGUUUAGCUGCCCACACUGGUGCCAGGCCCCAGGCUCCUGGGGUUUGCCCUAGACGCUGAAAAGGGUGCCGUUAUGCUAAUCAAUGUCGGUCUAAGUGUGAUUUCCAAGGUCAACCGAUACAGGGAAACCGAUCACGGAGCACGGGGCGGCGACGCGCGCAGACACAAGUACCGCAGCCGACGUUCCACCCCCCACGGAGGGAAGCAGCAGUGCCUCAAGUCUUCACCCAGCAAUAGCAGGCAGCGCUGGAUUGGACCUGGCAACCUCCCACACAGUAACGUUACUUGAUCCUUCAGUUCAUUUAUUGUCAACAAAUAUCACAGGGCCCUUACCCCCUAAAACACAAGCGUUAUUGUUAGGAAGAUCAUCCACAACAUUGUCAGGUCUUUUUGUACUACCAGGGGUCAUUGACUCUGACAGUACUGAUGAAAUUAAGAUUAUGGCACGGACCCCAUUUCCCCUUGCACAGUACCAAAAGGCAGCCGUAUAGCACAACUGAUAUUGAUUCCCACAGGGAUGGGCUCCCCAGUUCCUAGCCAGCCUCAACAAAGACGGGAAGGGUUUGGAUCUACAGGGAACUCACAAAUUUUAUGGGUGCAGUCUGUUUCUCAGAAGCGACCUGUAUGUCAAUGUACCCUUAUCCGCGGGAAACAGCAAGUUGUGUUAAAUGGAAUUAUUGAUACUGGAGCUGAUGUUAUGGUAAUAUCUCAGGCUAAAUGGCCACCACAAUGGCCUCUGGCUAAUGUUUCCCAAGCACUGGCAGGAACUGGAGGAACUGGUAGCAGCCACCAGAGUUUGGAACUAAUCCAAAUUCAAGGUCCGGAAGGGCAUAUAGCCUCUGUCAAACCUUUUGUGUUGCCAGUUCCUAUGAUUCUAUGGGGGCGUGAUGUGUUGUCUCAGUGGGGAAUGUCCAUUCGGACCCAUUUUUAGGUGGGGCCAUUGAAGUGCGCGACACCCUAAAAUUGACAUGGAAAACUGAUGCUCCUAUUUGGGUAGAUCAAUGGCCCCUACCACUGGAAAAGCUUCGCUCUCUCCAAGAAUUAGUUACGGAACAGUUAAUGAAAGGGCAUAUUGUGCCUUCUACCAGUCCUUGGAACUCACACAAACUGGCAAGUGGCACUUGCUCCAUGACCUUAGGAAAAUUAAUGACGCUAUGGAAGACAUGGGAGCCCUCCAACCAGGACUCCCGUCCCCCACUAUGAUUCCUCGAAAUUGGCAUUUGACUGUUAUUGACCUUAAAGACUGUUUUUUUAAUAUCCCGCUGCAUCCAGAUGAUGCCCCUAAAUUCGCCUUUUCGGUUCCAAGCGUCAACAUGCAAGCUCCGUUGCAAAGAUACCAGUGGGUUGUGCUGCCACAAGGAAUGAAGAAUAGCCCCACAAUAUGUCAGUGGUAUGUAGCUAAAGUACUUAGUCCGGUUAGGAUCGUAAUGCCUGGUGUCCUAUUGUAUCAUUAUAUGGAUGAUAUUCUAGUGGCCGCACAACAUCACGAGGUCAUGGAGGAAGCUGUGGCCCUUGUCACGGCUGCUGUUAACUCGGCAGGCCUCUGUAUUGCGCCAGAGAAAAUUCAGAAAAUACCGCCAUGGAAGUGCUUAGGUUGGCGCAUAAGGGCUCAAACUAUAGUUCCCCAGCCCUUACAAAUACAGACAGACAUAAGAAACUUGCAUGAUGUACAGAGAUUGUUGGGAACAAUUAAUUGGGUCCGACCGCUGGUAGGAAUUACUAAUACAGACUUAAAGCCUUUAUUUGAACUGCUAAAAGGAAGCACUGAUUUAUGUGCACCUCGCAGCCUCGGACCAGAAGCUAUUGACUCCUUACAGAAAGUUGCCACAGCAUUUACUCAUAGGCAAGCGCAUCGUUGGGCCCCUGAGUUGUCUUUUUAUCUUAUUAUUCUGAAUCCUGCCCAACAACUGUGUACUCAAAAACCCCACGCACUAAUAUUUCAAUGGGACUCACAGAAAUCAGCCCCACUGUUGAUUAUUGAAUGGGUUUUCUUGCCAAAUCAAUCUACAAAAACUAUCCUCACACAACAUGAGAUGUUUGCUUCUUUAAUAAUUAGAGCCAGACAAUGCUUGUUAACCUUAUCAGGAGCAGAUUUUGCUUGUAUCUGCUUACCUGUAACCACUUUAUAUUUACAGUGGCUUUAUCAGCAGUCAGAUGCCUUUUGCACUGCCUUAGCUGAUUACAUGGGUCAACUCACAUCCCACCCACCUUUACAUAAACUGCUUAAUGUUGACUUCCACCUCAUCUCUAUAUCGAAAAGAAGCUACCAGCCAUUACAAGCCCUUACUGUGUUUACAGAUGGGUUUGGGAAGUCACACAAAUCAGUUAUCCUAUGGUGGGACAACCAGCAGGGCAAUGGAACUCAGACAUAGAGACCGUCUCCGGUUCUCCUCAGAUAGUGGAACUGACUGCGGUUGUUCGAGUUUUUCGAAGGUGGUCCACACCACUUAACAUUAUUACUGACUCAGCUUAUGUUGCAGGAAUUGUUGAACGAGCUGAAGCAUCUGUAUUAUGUGAUGUUUUGCAUUCUGACUUAUUUGUUUUAUUGCAGGAGCUUAUUUUUCUUUUGGACUCGCGUUCUCAUCCUUACUUUGUUAUGCAUGUCAGAUCACACACUUCUCUACCUGGCUUUAUUGCAGAAGGGAACCGACGAGCUGAUUUGCUGACAUUACCAGUGCAAGUAUUACCGGAUCGCAUAGCGCAAGCUGAACUUAGCCAUUCCUUUUUUCACCAGAAUGCUGGAGGUCUCAAACGACAGUUUGGCCUUACUUCCCAACAAGCGGCUAAUGUUAUUGCUGUAUGUCCCGACUGUCAGAAACACUCAUUUCCGUCAAUAGCAGGAGGAGUUAAUCCUAGAGGACUGCAGAGCUUACAGUUACGGCAAAUGGACAUUACGCAUUAUCCGGAGUUUGGUAAAUUGAAAUAUGUCCAUUCCUCUAUUGACACCUUUUCAGGUGCUUUGUUGGCUGCUUGUCACACAGGGGAGAAGACACGUGAUGUUCAAAAACAUUUGAUGCGUGCUUUUGCCACCUUGGGUAUACCCUCUCAAAUAAAAACAGAUAAUGGCCCUGCGUAUGUCUCGGCUGCUAUAAAAACCUUUCUUGACUCCUGGGGUGUGACCCACAUUACUGGCAUCCCUCAUUCCCCUACAGGUCAGUCCCUGAUUGAACGCUCUCAUCAGGCUUUGAAACGUUUAUUACAACAACAGAAAGGGGGAGUGGGGACUGCCACCCCUGAGGAACGUCUACAGAAAGCUUUGUAUGUUUUUAACUUUUUAAAUUGUUCUUUGUUAGAUAGCAACCCUCCGAUAGUCCGACAUUUUAAUACGAAUGCUUCACUUGAGGUGCGAGUUAAGGCCCCAGUAUUGGUUUGUGAUCCAGAAACAGGUAAAGUAAUGGGACCGUAUCCCCUUAUCACAUGGGGCAGAGGCUAUGUUUGUGUUUCCACAGAGAAAGGCCCUCGAUGGAUUCCGGCAAAGAGUGUACAACCCUUCCGUGAAUCCCUACCACAAUCAUCCAGAGAGAACUCCGAUCACCCUCCAGACCAGCCUUUCGAGCAACAAACUGGUGAAUCUCCUGAGGACACUGGUGUGACGGUUGCUUAGAAAAGGAAGUUGAUGUAGCUGAAGUUUUGCUUGUCACAGGACACAAACCAUUGGGGAGUAGUUGUUAUUUACAUGACUGUAUAGAUUGGGCCUAUUUAGUGUCCAAAAGGGUGGAGGAGGUGUUAGUUUGUGAUCUAGAGUGUAGUAAAACAAACCCGGUGCCCGAUAUAUGGGCUGUUCUUAAACAAGAUUGGGAUCAGACGAAAGAAAUGCAGAAAACAAUUUGCAUGGAAACUAAAGAAAGGCAGAAAGUUGCUUUUAGAAUAAUAUUUCUUUCUAUGAUUACGCUAGAGGUUGCGCGAAGCCACCCGCUCUUAUCUGUACUACCCCAGGUUAACGUGUGGGUAACGCUAGCAAAUCUCACGGGACAAGACACCUUGUGUCUCGCUACUGCCUCUCCUAAUAAUCCCUUUUCUACAUGCCUUGUAGGAUUGCCAUUGGAUAAAUGGCCCAUACCUGAUAAGGUGGGAAAAGCCUUUCCAACCUUGGCCCCCAAUUUAACCAAUAACUGGGAUGCCUGGACCCCUUUUCUCCCGCAUGCUGCUUUAGAGCCACAAGAAAUUGAGUUGCUUGGAUCAAUAAAGGUGGAUUUCUGUGUUAGGUUUAACUAUACAGGAACAAACCAGUCUAAGGUAUGGGAUGUCUCUCCUGUCCAUCCCGUUUUUAAAAAUGCUACUACUUGGUGUAAUUAUACAGCAACGAACUUGUCUAGAUCUAGCAAUGCUCCGCUUUUAUUACCAUCAGGGAUAUUUCUUAUUUGCGGGGAUAGAGCAUGGCCUGUUAACCCUUCUCAUAUAAGAGGAGGUCCGUGUAGCCUUGGGACGCCUUUCUGUCCUGACUCCUAAUACAUCCAUGAUUUUACAACACUGUCUUUCUCACGGAACAAAGCGUAGCAUCCAUGCAUAUACCCCCGAUUGUGAUGAUAACGUGAAGUUUUGGUCUUUUAGCCAACGCGUUGUCGCCUCUCUUUUAACAGCUGGAGCUGCCGCUGCAAAAGCACUAGCAACAUUAGAUAAGCUUGGCUGCUGGCUUGCUAAACAAACGAACGCUACUAGCAAUGCAUUGUCUGGUCUUUUCUUAGAUGUACAUAGUGUUCACCAUGCUACGUUACAAAAUAGAGCUGCUAUAGAUUUUUUGCUUUUAGCGCAAGGCCACGGUUGUGAGGAUUUUGAGGGCAUGUGUUGUAUGAAUCUCUCUGACCACUCGGAAUCAAUUCAUGCUAGUAUUCAACAGCUUAAAGCUGGGGUCUCUAAGCUUCAACAAAAUGAUAUUUGGGAUUGGUUAGAUAGGCUUUUUGAAGGAUGUGGAUUGUCAGGAUGGUUAAGGAGUCUUGUGAAGUUGGUUGUAUAUGUUUUGGCAGUUUUUAUUCUCCUGUUACUAUUCUUGCCUUGUUUGUUGCAAUGCCUACAAAAAUUGAUUUCGCGUUUUAUGAAAAGAGUUCUUUGUCGUGGUUGAGACGGACAAGCGACAUGGACCAAGUUCUUUCAAGAUGAAAGUAAUGGAUGCCAUUUAUUGCUACAAGUGCAUUUUUAUACAAUUCUACCAGUUCAUGUGUCUUUUCACUAUUGGUUACAAGUUACAGCACUAACAUUUCGUUGGUUAAUUUUCCUAUCAUCCAUGUUAUUCUUCUAUCCCCUUCUUUCUCACGGGUACAUCUCUCCUCUCUCCGGAUACUCCUUUACUCCCAUCCUUCUCAAGGGUAAAUCUUAAUAUCUCAAGGCUGAU